Molecule: ribosomal RNA, 460 nt
Filed under: uncultured bacterium
Lineage: Bacteria
Description: partial 16S ribosomal RNA
Rfam family: Bacterial small subunit ribosomal RNA
Source: RNAcentral
CCUACGGGUGGCAGCAGUGAGGAAUCUUGGUCAAUGGGCGCGAGCCUGAACCAGCCAAGUAGCGUGAAGGAUGACUGCCCUACGGGUUGUAAACUUCUUUUAUAAAGGAAUAAAGUGAGGCACGUGUGCCUUUUUGUAUGUACUUUAUGAAUAAGGAUCGGCUAACUCGGUUCCAGCAGCCGCGGUAAUCAGGAGGAUCCGGGCGUUAUCCGGCUUUAUUGGGUUUAAAGGGAGUGUAGAGGGGUUGUAAAUUCCUUUGUGAAAGUUUGCGGCUCAACCGGAAAAUUGCAAUUGAUACUGGCAGCCUUGAGUACAGGAGAGGUAGGCGGAAUUCGUGGUGUAGCGGUGAAAUGCUUAGAUAUCACGAAGAACUCCGAUUGCGAAGGCAGCUUACUAAACUGCAACUGACAUUGAGGCUCGAAAGUGUGGGUAUCAAACAGGAUUAGAUACCCCAGUAGUC